AUUGAACGCUGGCGGCAGGCCUAACACAUGCAAGUCGAGCGCGAAAGUCUUCGGAUGAGUAAAGCGGCGGACGGGUGAGUAAUGCAUGGGAAUCUGCCUGGUAGUGGGGGACAACGUUUCGAAAGAGACGCUAAUACCGCAUACGCCCUACGGGGGAAAGGGGGGGAUCUUCGGACCUCUCGCUAUCAGAUGAGCCCAUGGCAGAUUAGCUAGUUGGUAGGGUAAAGGCCUACCAAGGCGACGAUCUGUAACUGGUCUGAGAGGAUGAUCAGUCACACUGGAACUGAGACACGGUCCAGACUCCUACGGGAGGCAGCAGUGGGGAAUAUUGGACAAUGGGGGCAACCCUGAUCCAGCCAUGCCGCGUGUGUGAAGAAGGCCCUAGGGUUGUAAAGCACUUUCAGUGGGGAGAAAGGUAAUUCACCUAAUACGUGAGUUAAUUGAUGCUACCCACAGAAGAAGCACCGGCUAACUCCGUGCCAGCAGCCGCCGCCG
RNAcentral lists this ribosomal RNA (495 nucleotides) under uncultured bacterium. RNAcentral's name for it is "partial 16S ribosomal RNA". It matches the Rfam family "Bacterial small subunit ribosomal RNA", at positions 30 to 523 of the family's 1533-position model. The record is from RNAcentral.